UACGGGGGGAGCAAGCGUUGUUCGGAUUUACUGGGCGUAAAGGGCGCGUAGGCGGCCACCGCAAGUCGACUGUGAAAUCUCCGGGCUUAACCCGGAAAGGUCAGCCGAUACUGCGGGGCUAGAGUGCAGAAGGGGCAACUGGAAUUCUCGGUGUAGCGGUGAAAUGCGUAGAUAUCGGAAGGAACAUCAGUGGCGAAAGCGACUUCCUGGACCAAUACUGACGCUCAUGUGCGAAAGCGUGGGGAGCAAACAGG
RNAcentral lists this ribosomal RNA (254 nucleotides) under uncultured bacterium. RNAcentral describes it as "partial 16S ribosomal RNA". It matches the Rfam family "Bacterial small subunit ribosomal RNA", at positions 524 to 776 of the family's 1533-position model. The record is from RNAcentral.